CGGCACCUGAUUUGAGCCAUACACGCUGCCGUCACCGCCGGAGAUCAGACUGAGGAGGCAGAGCGGCAGACAGGAGAAGCGCGCGCUGCGCUCUCCACACACCAACGAUAAAGAAUUUCAGCAUCUGCGGAGAGCGCGGGCAGGAAGCGUUCUGCGUUCCGUCAGCUGUGACCUUUACCAGAGACAUGCUGCCAGCGCAGAUAAAGCUGAAGGGCGACGACUGCGCCAAGCUGGACUCCCGGAUUUCUCCUUCUCAAAAUAAAUGAAGCUUCUGUCCAAAGAUGUAACAAGUCAGGCUGAAGAGCUGACAAACCGAACACCGAGAAUGAUCUCCCCAAGAUGAACGUUGUCUCUUUACAGAUAACGUAUGAAGAUGAUGUUGUUAUACUAAGUAAAAGACAGUGAUCGGAGGCAUCAGCAUCAUUACUGUAGCCCUGGCAUUACUACGCUGGACAGAUUCCCUCAUUAAUACCAGCAAAGAUAGAACAGGCAAGUGGAGAAAGUUCCAAUUUGACACCUUGGAAUUUGUCUUAUUAAAAUUCCGCAGCCUCCUA
This is a long non-coding RNA of Pseudophryne corroboree (corroboree frog), 554 nucleotides long. RefSeq lists it as uncharacterized. Lineage: Eukaryota; Metazoa; Chordata; Amphibia; Anura; Myobatrachidae. The record is from RefSeq and is a predicted model, not a curated record. The transcript is spliced from 3 exons.